UGUGUGCCUUGGAGUCUCAGUAGAGUUUGAUCAUGGCUCAGAUCGAACGCUAGCGGAAUGCCUUACACAUGCAAGUCGAACGGCAGCGCGGACUUCGGUCUGGCGGCGAGUGGCGAACGGGUGAGUAAUGUAUCGGAACGUGCCCAGUAGCGGGGGACAACCACUCGAAAGAGUGGCUAAUACCGCAUACGCCCUACGGGGAAAGGGGGGGAUCGCAAGACCUCUCACUAUUGGAGCGGCCGAUAUCGGAUUAGCUAGUUGGUGGGGUAAAGGCCUACCAAGGCGACGAUCCGUAGCUGGUUUGAGAGGACGACCAGCCACACUGGGACUGAGACACGGCCCAGACUCCUACGGGAGGCAGCAGUGGGGAAUUUUGGACAAUGGGGGAAACCCUGGUCCAGCCAUUCCGCGUGUGCGAUGAAGGCCUUCGGGUUGUAAAGCACUUUUGGCAGGAAAGAAAUCGUGUAGGUUAAUACCCUGCGCGGAUGACGGUACCUGCAGAAUAAGCACCGGCUAACUACGUG
Molecule: ribosomal RNA, 524 nt
Filed under: uncultured bacterium
Lineage: Bacteria
Description: bacterial SSU rRNA
Rfam family: Bacterial small subunit ribosomal RNA
Source: RNAcentral